CCCCCCUUAGCUCAGUUGGUCAGAGCAGUCGACUCAUAAUCGAUUGGUCGCUGGUUCAAGCCCGGCAGGGGGGACCA
This 77-nucleotide transfer RNA is filed under the name Actinobacillus delphinicola. Its description in RNAcentral is "tRNA-Met". It matches the Rfam family "tRNA". Rfam says of the family: Transfer RNA (tRNA) molecules are approximately 80 nucleotides in length. Their secondary structure includes four short double-helical elements and three loops (D, anti-codon, and T loops). Lineage: Bacteria; Pseudomonadati; Pseudomonadota; Gammaproteobacteria; Pasteurellales; Pasteurellaceae. The record is from RNAcentral.